RNAcentral lists this ribosomal RNA (487 nucleotides) under uncultured bacterium. RNAcentral describes it as "bacterial SSU rRNA". It matches the Rfam family "Bacterial small subunit ribosomal RNA", at positions 501 to 987 of the family's 1533-position model. The record is from RNAcentral.
CUACGUGCCAGCAGCCGCGGUAAUACGGAGGGUGCAAGCGUUAAUCGGAAUUACUGGGCGUAAAGCGCACGCAGGCGGUUGAUUGAGUCAGAUGUGAAAUCCCCGGGCUUAACCCGGGAAUUGCAUCUGAUACUGGUCAGCUAGAGUCUUGUAGAGGGGGGUAGAAUUCCAUGUGUAGCGGUGAAAUGCGUAGAGAUGUGGAGGAAUACCGAUGGCGAAGGCAGCCUCCUGGGAUAACACUGACGUUCAUGCUCGAAAGCGUGGGUAGCAAACAGGAUUAGAUACCCUGGUAGUCCACGCCCUAAACGAUGUCAAUUAGCUGUUGGGCAACUUGAUUGCUUAGUAGCGUAGCUAACGCGUGAAAUUGACCGCCUGGGGAGUACGGUCGCAAGAUUAAAACUCAAAGGAAUUGACGGGGACCCGCACAAGCGGUGGAUGAUGUGGAUUAAUUCGAUGCAACGCGAAGAACCUUACCUGGUCUUGACAU